Molecule: ribosomal RNA, 773 nt
Filed under: uncultured Neocallimastigales
Lineage: Eukaryota; Fungi; Neocallimastigomycota; Neocallimastigomycetes; Neocallimastigales
Description: partial large subunit ribosomal RNA
Rfam family: Eukaryotic large subunit ribosomal RNA
Source: RNAcentral
ACACGCAUGACACACUGCAUAUCAAUAAGCGGAGGAAAAGAAACUAACUAGGAUUCCCUCAGUAACGGCGAGUGAAGCGGGAAGAGCUCAAAUUUGAAAUCUUCAAGGUUCUACCUUGACGAAUUGUAGUUUAAAGAAGUGUUUUCUGUUGGAGUUUUGGUAAAAGUUCUUUGGAAUAGGACAUCAUAGAGGGUGAGAAUCCCGUAUUUGACCAUUAUUUCCAACUUUGUGAUACACUUUCAAAGAGUCGGAUUGUUUGGGAAUGCAGUCCAAAAUGGGUGGUAAAUUUCAUCUAAAGCUAAAUACUGGCGAGAGACCGAUAGCGAACAAGUACCGUGAGGGAAAGAUGAAAAGAACUUUGAAAAGAGAGUUAAACAGUACGUGAAAUUGUCAAAAGGGAAGCGUUUGACACCAGUGUUGUUUUCUCGAAAAUCAAUUAAAAAAAGUUGGAUUUUGUGUUGUAUUGACCUUAACAGCUUUCUUCACUCUUUUCCUGCUUUUUUUAAUGCACUUUUCGUUUAACAAGUCAACAUCAGUUUCUUUUGUUGUAAAAGGGUCAUUGGAAGGUGGCUUUCUUUUCGGAGAAAGUGUUUAUAGCCUUUGAUCUCUGCAACCGGAGAGACUGAGGUCUGCAGCGUAGACUCUUCGGGGUUAAAUACAUUUGUGCUAAGCUAUAGCUUUUUAUAGAAACUUGUUGACUAUAUUUAGUCUUGUGGCUUACUCGCUUAUGCUAUUUUACCUACGCUUAGGAUGUUGAGCGCAUGUCUCUCUCU